RNAcentral lists this microRNA (18 nucleotides) under Macaca mulatta (Rhesus monkey). RNAcentral's name for it is "mml-miR-7190-5p". Lineage: Eukaryota; Metazoa; Chordata; Mammalia; Primates; Cercopithecidae. The record is from miRBase by way of RNAcentral.
CGCUGGCUGGGAGCGUAG